This 3116-nucleotide ribosomal RNA is filed under the name Salmonella enterica subsp. enterica serovar Bareilly. RNAcentral describes it as "23S ribosomal RNA". It matches the Rfam family "Bacterial large subunit ribosomal RNA". The record is from RNAcentral. Lineage: Bacteria; Pseudomonadati; Pseudomonadota; Gammaproteobacteria; Enterobacterales; Enterobacteriaceae.
GGGUUGUGAGGUUAAGCGACUAAGCGUACACGGUGGAUGCCCUGGCAGUCAGAGGCGAUGAAGGGCGUGCUAAUCUGCGAUAAGCGCCGGUAAGGUGAUAUGAACCGUUAUAACCGGCGAUACCCGAAUGGGGAAACCCAGUGUGAUUCGUCACACUAUCAUUAACUGAAUCCAUAGGUUAAUGAGGCGAACCGGGGGAACUGAAACAUCUAAGUACCCCGAGGAAAAGAAAUCAACCGAGAUUCCCCCAGUAGCGGCGAGCGAACGGGGAGGAGCCCAGAGCCUGAAUCAGCAUGUGUGUUAGUGGAAGCGUCUGGAAAGGCGCGCGAUACAGGGUGACAGCCCCGUACACAAAAGCGCAUGUGCUGUGAGCUCGAUGAGUAGGGCGGGACACGUGGUAUCCUGUCUGAAUAUGGGGGGACCAUCCUCCAAGGCUAAAUACUCCUGACUGACCGAUAGUGAACCAGUACCGUGAGGGAAAGGCGAAAAGAACCCCGGCGAGGGGAGUGAAAAAGAACCUGAAACCGUGUACGUACAAGCAGUGGGAGCCCCACCACUAAGCCAGUGGUGAACUCCACAUACGCAUCCUUUGCUGAGGAUACGGUUAACGGAGCGAAAGCGACGUUCAACCUCAAAACAAGCAGAGGGGGCUUAGUGGUGGGGUGACUGCGUACCUUUUGUAUAAUGGGUCAGCGACUUAUAUUCUGUAGCAAGGUUAACCGAAUAGGGGAGCCGGAGGGAAACCGAGUCUUAAUUGGGCGUUAAGUUGCAGGGUAUAGACCCGAAACCCGGUGAUCUAGCCAUGGGCAGGUUGAAGGUUGGGUAACACUAACUGGAGGACCGAACCGACUAAUGUUGAAAAAUUAGCGGAUGACCUGUGGCUGGGGGUGAAAGGCCAAUCAAACCGGGAGAUAGCUGGUUCUCCCCGAAAGCUAUUUAGGUAGCGCCUCGUGAAUUCAUCUCCGGGGGUAGAGCACUGUUUCGGCUAGGGGGCCAUCCCGGCUUACCAACCCGAUGCAAACUGCGAAUACCGGAGAAUGUUAUCACGGGAGACACACGGCGGGUGCUAACGUCCGUCGUGAAGAGGGAAACAACCCAGACCGCCAGCUAAGGUCCCAAAGUCAUGGUUAAGUGGGAAACGAUGUGGGAAGGCCCAGACAGCCAGGAUGUUGGCUUAGAAGCAGCCAUCAUUUAAAGAAAGCGUAAUAGCUCACUGGUCGAGUCGGCCUGCGCGGAAGAUGUAACGGGGCUAAACCAUGCACCGAAGCUGCGGCAGCGAACGUAUCACUUAAAGCGAUUCAGCGGGUUACGAUUGACGGAGCGAAGCGACGUCAAAGCGUAUACAAAGUCGAGUCGGUUUAAGGAUACGUUCGUUGGGUAGGGGAGCGUUCUGUAAGCCUGCGAAGGUGGCCUGUGAGGGUUGCUGGAGGUAUCAGAAGUGCGAAUGCUGACAUAAGUAACGAUAAAGCGGGUGAAAAGCCCGCUCGCCGGAAGACCAAGGGUUCCUGUCCAACGUUAAUCGGGGCAGGGUGAGUCGACCCCUAAGGCGAGGCCGAAAGGCGUAGUCGAUGGGAAACGGGUUAAUAUUCCCGUACUUGGUGUUACUGCGAAGGGGGGACGGAGAAGGCUAUGUUGGCCGGGCGACGGUUGUCCCGGUUUAAGCGUGUAGGUGUGUGUUCCAGGUAAAUCCGGUUCACUUUAACACUGAGGCGUGACGACGAGGCACUACGGUGCUGAAGCAACAAAUGCCCUGCUUCCAGGAAAAGCCUCUAAGCAUCAGGUAACAUCAAAUCGUACCCCAAACCGACACAGGUGGUCAGGUAGAGAAUACCAAGGCGCUUGAGAGAACUCGGGUGAAGGAACUAGGCAAAAUGGUGCCGUAACUUCGGGAGAAGGCACGCUGACACGUAGGUGAAGUGAUUUACUCACGGAGCUGAAGUCAGUCGAAGAUACCAGCUGGCUGCAACUGUUUAUUAAAAACACAGCACUGUGCAAACACGAAAGUGGACGUAUACGGUGUGACGCCUGCCCGGUGCCGGAAGGUUAAUUGAUGGGGUCAGCGCAAGCGAAGCUCCUGAUCGAAGCCCCGGUAAACGGCGGCCGUAACUAUAACGGUCCUAAGGUAGCGAAAUUCCUUGUCGGGUAAGUUCCGACCUGCACGAAUGGCGUAAUGAUGGCCAGGCUGUCUCCACCCGAGACUCAGUGAAAUUGAACUCGCUGUGAAGAUGCAGUGUACCCGCGGCAAGACGGAAAGACCCCGUGAACCUUUACUAUAGCUUGACACUGAACAUUGAGCCUUGAUGUGUAGGAUAGGUGGGAGGCUUUGAAGCGUGGACGCCAGUCUGCGUGGAGCCGACCUUGAAAUACCACCCUUUAAUGUUUGAUGUUCUAACGUGGACCCGUAAUCCGGGUUGCGGACAGUGUCUGGUGGGUAGUUUGACUGGGGCGGUCUCCUCCUAAAGAGUAACGGAGGAGCACGAAGGUUGGCUAAUCCUGGUCGGACAUCAGGAGGUUAGUGCAAUGGCAUAAGCCAGCUUGACUGCGAGCGUGACGGCGCGAGCAGGUGCGAAAGCAGGUCAUAGUGAUCCGGUGGUUCUGAAUGGAAGGGCCAUCGCUCAACGGAUAAAAGGUACUCCGGGGAUAACAGGCUGAUACCGCCCAAGAGUUCAUAUCGACGGCGGUGUUUGGCACCUCGAUGUCGGCUCAUCACAUCCUGGGGCUGAAGUAGGUCCCAAGGGUAUGGCUGUUCGCCGAUUUAAAGUGGUACGCGAGCUGGGUUUAGAACGUCGUGAGACAGUUCGGUCCCUAUCUGCCGUGGGCGCUGGAGAACUGAGGGGGGCUGCUCCUAGUACGGAGAGGACCGGAGUGGACGCAUCACUGGUGUUCGGGUUGUCAUGCCAAUGGCACUGCCCGGUAGCUAAAUGCGGAAGAGAUAAGUGCUGAAAGCAUCUAAGCACGAAACUUGCCCCGAGAUGAGUUCUCCCUGAGACUUUAGGUCUCCUGAAGGAACGUUGAAGACGACGACGUUGAUAGGCCGGGUGUGUAAGCGCAGCGAUGCGUUGAGCUAACCGGUACUAAUGAACCGUGAGGCUUAACCUUACAACGCCGAAGCUGUU